AGGCGUAGAAAAGCGAAAAGAGGAAAGUAGAGCACUGACCGGAAAGCUGAAAAAAUAAAGCUCUUCAGAGAAAUAGAGUAGCAAGAAUGGGCUAUUUUUUAAAACGCAAUUAAACAUUUUUUGUUUGGAAUAUCGCAGAUUUCAUUGAAGAUGAAAAUCAUUGUUGAAAUUGCACUUCAGCCACUGAGGCUGGACAGUUGACAUCCUUUCUUGUCAGUGUACUUCAAAGAGGAAAAAACAAGGGACGUCAGCCAAUAUGGCGAAUGUGUUUACCUACGAGGAGGUGGUUAUGAUUACCAAUUCGGCGAGAGUAGGACCAAGGCAGGAUGUACUAUGUUUUCCACCCAAAAGGAUUAUGUAUUUAAGAUGAGAAUCAUUGGGAGAUUCGAUCUAGCCAUGUCCAUAUCGGGAAUUAUAUAAGGUGUAAAGUUAUGGCACGCAGGGAAUAUUCGGCAACAGUCGAAGAUGA
Molecule: non-coding RNA, 469 nt
Organism: Drosophila melanogaster (fruit fly)
Lineage: Eukaryota; Metazoa; Arthropoda; Insecta; Diptera; Drosophilidae
Source: Ensembl